CCGCGUGAGGGAAGACUGCCCAUGGGCUGUAAACCUCUUUUUUCAGGGAGGAAAAAAUGACGUGUACCUGAAGAAUAAGCAUCGGCUAACUCCGUGCCAGCAGCCGCGGUAAU
This 113-nucleotide ribosomal RNA is filed under the name uncultured eukaryote. Its description in RNAcentral is "partial 16S ribosomal RNA". It matches the Rfam family "Bacterial small subunit ribosomal RNA", at positions 397 to 524 of the family's 1533-position model. The record is from RNAcentral.